UGGAAAAGGUUAUCUUUUGAUGAGACAUGAGUCCAUGCACCCAUUUUCAGGUGCUCAUCUGAAGCUGGGUCGGCACUAACUCAACCCAGGCGUCGUUCUCUCCCACCUGUACAGCUCCUCCCGGGGGAUUCCAGGACAUCCAGGCCAGAUGAGAUACAUACAAGUAAUGCCUCAAGCGAAUUGUGGGCCUGGCCCUGGGACUUGGAUGUGCCCUGAACACAUCCAAUUGAAGACGACGCGACCGUGGACUCCAGGACGAUGCCCUUGUCAGACCCCGGCGAGGGAGAACAGCCACGAGGCCGGGGACGGCACCAGGCAUGAGUGGACAUGGGCUCGAGCCAGGUACCGCUGAGAAGCAGCUCCACGCCGGCCGGCGGGUCGCACGGAGCCACACACAGAUACUGGCUGGGAAAAGAAACAUGCACGUAGGAGGAUAGAUGAGUAACGGUUCCUCCCCCUCUGCUGCCCUACAAGUGCCCUUGAGCAAGUCGGUCAUUGUUAAGAGACGAGGGAAGAGGCGGAGGUGGAAGAAGCAGCGCGAGCUCUUGCAAGUGUGUGUGAAGACGACGGAGAAUGAGGCGAAAGACAAGAGACUAAGUGUUUCCCGAGCGGAGGGAGAGAAUGGCUCCGCUGUCGGCUCAAUGCCCACAGGAACGAAGCGGGGACCAGCGCAUCGUAAGACAACGCACAGCGGUGACUCAGCCUCCAGCAGCAGAAGCAGUGUGAGAACACAAACCGGGGCUUAGAAGCGAGCUCGCUCAUUACAUCAGCGCUCAGGUGUUGUCUCCUCGUUUUAUGAGCAGCCAGACGAGGCCGGAGUUUAGAGCUGUGUGUCAUUAAGGCCCGCGGACCGCUUCAAGGUUCUGUGGUACCUCUGCUGGAAGACGUCUCCGUGGUUGAGUCACUGCUUAGAAAGCUUCCACAUCCUGCCUUCGCUGAGACACCAGGAGGAUAGACAGACAGAUAGAUAUGUAUUAUCUGAGGUGUUUACCAAAGCCGCACUACAGAGUAGAGAGAGGAGCCCACAGCACAUACACAUCAAGCGAAGGAUGUUCCAGUGCUCUGAUUUCUCAAGCAGAUAUACAGAAAACCCAUCGCCAAAGAAUGAAGGUGAGGCUCUCUAGAGAAAACCCCAUCUCUGGUUCUUUAAUGCAGAAAAAACACAGAGGAUCAGCUGCUUAAUCUAAAGCUCAGUCAACAGCAACAUCUACCGCAGGUAGAAUUGAUCACGAUUGUAGGUUUUCUGUCUAGACCAGCGUCACAUGCCUGAUAUACAGUAUUUACUGUGCUGAUGUUUGCUGCAUGCAGUGGCUGCACACCUCCUCAGCAGAGUGCCUGCUAAAAAUAACACCUGAUGCAGACCAGCCACAGACCCCAGCAAUGCGUACAGUUACAUCUAUCGAUCAUUAUCUAGCUGACACGUCCAGAAGACCUCCUGCUGCUCUGUGAAUAUGCAUCCUGGCGCUGAUUAAGUGCGGUUCUGCCCUCCUGACCUGCUGGAUCGGUCCUGGUCGUGUGUCCAGACCAGCGCUCAGCUGCACAGUACAGUAACCCAUGAAUUAGUUAGGCUUCCCUAUUAUUUUAGCUCGUCCU
RNAcentral lists this long non-coding RNA (1593 nucleotides) under Betta splendens (Siamese fighting fish). RNAcentral's name for it is "lncRNA (ENSBSLG00000025794.1)". The record is from RNAcentral. Lineage: Eukaryota; Metazoa; Chordata; Actinopteri; Anabantiformes; Osphronemidae.